RNAcentral lists this long non-coding RNA (894 nucleotides) under Gossypium barbadense (sea-island cotton). RNAcentral's name for it is "long non-coding RNA (GBAR_LNC020331)". The record is from RNAcentral. Lineage: Eukaryota; Viridiplantae; Streptophyta; Magnoliopsida; Malvales; Malvaceae.
UCUCAAUUUUCAACUUCAACUCUAUGCCUUGAGUUUACAUACCGACCUUUCAAGUAGAUUGUUUCCAUAAGGGUACCUGGCAUUAUGAGAAGUGGGUUGUCGUCAAAAACUUGAAUUUCAUGGUAGUUGUCUGAGUAAAGGUAAUUCGUUAAAUUACGUGUAGGUAAUUUAAUUUGGGUGAUGAUGACUAUAUAUAUAUAUUUAUUAUUUUUUCGAUUUUAAACUUGUGGAACAUGCUAUUUACUUAAAGAUGAGUAGACGAUUCAGAGCUAUUAUCCAUUACAAUGAUUAAAUUUGUGAGACUGAGGUUGGGCCCAUUUUUGUAUCAGCCCAAUCUGAAGAUCCGCCAUUCAAUUGGAGCAUAACGUUAAAAGAACUUCGAGCAAGGAUUAGGCACAAAGUGGGGAUCCGCAGAAGAAUUUCGAGCCUAAAAUGUAGAUAUCUAACGUAAUUCAACCCCGUUAGAUAUGUCAUUUUUUAGAUCACCAGGAAUAACGAGUUGGAGACGGUGAUUGAAUCCUAUUGCUCUAGUGGGAAUGCUGUACUAGAGUUAUAUGCUGACUUCGUCGAAGAGGACAAAGGUGGCCUGAUCUCGAUUACACCAUGUCCUCCAAAUUCCACGGCAAAUCAAGAAGCAAAAAGUCCGACCACACGGUUGUGUGGUGGAUUCACAUCAUUGCUACAAAACUCAUACCAAGACACCAAGGAAUCGUUCGACAUUCAUCAGUUUUGCCCCUUGGUUACAACUUCAGGGGAAUAAAAUAAAAUCGAAGGGUUCAGAGAAAAAUUUUAAAAAAAUUUAAGAAUUGAGAAUUUUGAAUAAAAAAUCAAGAAUUAACAAUUGAGAAUAAAAAAAAUUUGAGAACUAAAAAGUGAGAAUUGAUAAUUGAGUUG